Paramuricea clavata is the source of this 1118-nucleotide non-coding RNA. The record is from the annotation of a GenBank genome assembly. NCBI's taxonomy places the organism in Eukaryota, Metazoa, Cnidaria, Anthozoa, Malacalcyonacea, Plexauridae.
UCUGGCAAGUGUCAUUCGUCGUGUUUUCAGUCAAAAGCAUAGGAAAACACCGUUCGAAAGUAGAAAAAUAAAUAUUUUUGCGAAGUUGCUCGACCGAUCUUCAUUUUGGGACUCAAAUUUGAAAGAUAAAUGGUAAGUGGUUAUUUUUAUGUAAAAAGAUAUACGUUUAUAGGCUAAAUACAAAGAAAAAAUAGUAUAAUACAAUAUACAAUCUCGGUGCUUGUGAUGUUCUGCCAAGAAGCAGAUUCCCAUUUCGCUAUAAAAUUAAUGCGGGCCAAACGUAUUGCUUUCCUGUCUUUUACAUUAAUAAGAAAGCAUAGGUGCUGAUUUGAAACACGUCCAUCAGGUUCCAUGCAUGUAGCUUUGGGAUUUGUGAGCAAAAAUUACUAGUUAAAGUUAAAGUAAACUACCUAUGUUUUUAAUACUUUCUGUGCAACUAUAAAUAACCACAUUCACAAAUGUAUUCUCCAGCAAAGAAACGUUUCUUUACGGAUUGUUAUUCCGCAUUUGAAGGCAUGCUUAUGCCUUCAAAGGUCAGAGAUCUUGAACAUGCAGAAUAGCAGAGACUACUGUCAUUGACAUCCUUUUUAAUUGUCACAAAAUUAUGAUGGCAUAUUGGACAGCAGUAUGUUGGAUAAGGCACUUCCUUAAUAAAUAGCCGGACACAUAAGUUCAUGCAGACUAAGUUUUGUUCAAUUUCAUUUGUUUUGUAGUCGGUAUCUUCAACUGCUUGGAUUAGUGGUGGGCUUGUCUAAUCAUUUCCUGCAGAUAAAUCAGAUUGGCUAGGGUGAAAUGCAAUCAAAUAGGCAUCAGAAUCUUCAGCACAGCUGCCAAUUGAAAGUGGUGUCAAAAUGUUAUCUACAAAUAAUAUGCAAAAUGCUCUGGUGAACUGGAUGGGACUAAUGGGUUGUCACAAUCCCCCCCCCCCCUGCUGCCUAAUGAGGCCAAAGAAGUUCUCCAGAGGAUCUUGGUUGAGACAUCUUGUCAUGAGAAACUCCAAGGAAUGAUGUUGGUUAAGGUCUUGAAAUGUAAAUACUACAGUGUAAUAACUACUGACAGUGUAAAUACUACAACAGUGAAAUGUAAAUACAACAGUGUAAUUGGGGUUUAAAAAUACA